CCUACGGGUGGCAGCAGUAGGGAAUCUUCCACAAUGGGCGAAAGCCUGAUGGAGCAACGCCGCGUGGGUGAAGAAGGUCUUCGGAUCGUAAAACCCUGUUGUUAGAGAAGAAAGUGCGUGAGAGUAACUGUUAACGUUUCGACGGUAUCUAACCAGAAAGCCACGGCUAACUACGUGCCAGCAGCCGCGGUAAUACGUAGGUGGCAAGCGUGAUCCGGAUUGAUUGGGCGUAAAGGGCACGCAGGCGGUCUUUUAAGUCUGAUGUGAAAGCCUUGGGCUUAACGGGAGUAGUGCAUUGGAUACUGGGAGACUAGAGUGUAGAAGAGGAGAGUGGAACUCAAGGUGUAGCGGUGAAAUGCGUAGAUAUACGGAAGAACACCGGUGGCGAAAGCGGCUCUCUGGUCUGUAACUGACGCUGAGGUUCGAAAGCGUGGGUAGCAAACAGGAUUAGAUACCCUUGUAGUC
This 465-nucleotide ribosomal RNA is filed under the name uncultured bacterium. RNAcentral describes it as "partial 16S ribosomal RNA". It matches the Rfam family "Bacterial small subunit ribosomal RNA", at positions 338 to 795 of the family's 1533-position model. The record is from RNAcentral.